This 305-nucleotide ribosomal RNA is filed under the name uncultured bacterium. Its description in RNAcentral is "bacterial SSU rRNA". It matches the Rfam family "Bacterial small subunit ribosomal RNA", at positions 333 to 630 of the family's 1533-position model. The record is from RNAcentral.
CUCGUCCUACGGGGGGCAGCAGUAGGGAAUUUUCGUCAAUGGGCGCAAGCCUGAACGAGCAAUGCCGCGUGAACGAGGAAGGUCUUCGGAUCGUAAAGUUCUGUUGAAGGGGAAAAAGAGCGGAGAGAGGAAAUGGUCUCCGAUUGAUAUUACCCUUCGAGGAAGUCACGGCUAACUACGUGCCAGCAGCCGCGGUAAUACGUAGGUGGCGAGCGUUAUCCGGAAUGAUUGGGCGUAAAGGGUGCGUAGGCGGCCUGCUAAGUCUGGAGUGAAAUGCCGGGGCUCAACCCCGGAACUGCUUUGGG